RNAcentral lists this ribosomal RNA (460 nucleotides) under uncultured bacterium. RNAcentral's name for it is "partial 16S ribosomal RNA". It matches the Rfam family "Bacterial small subunit ribosomal RNA", at positions 338 to 795 of the family's 1533-position model. The record is from RNAcentral.
CCUACGGGUGGCAGCGGUGAGGAAUAUUGGUCAAUGGACGAGAGUCUGAACCAGCCAAGUAGCGUGAAGGAUGACUGCCCUAUGGGUUGUAAACUUCUUUUAUAUGGGAAUAAAAUGUUCCACGUGUGGGAUUUUGUAUGUACCAUAUGAAUAAGGAUCGGCUAACUCCGUGCCAGCAGCCGCGGUAAUACGGAGGAUCCGAGCGUUAUCCGGAUUUAUUGGGUUUAAAGGGAGCGUAGGUGGAUUGUUAAGUCAGUUGUGAAAGUUUGCGGCUCAACCGUAAAAUUGCAGUUGAAACUGGCAGUCUUGAGUACAGUAGAGGUGGGCGGAAUUCGUGGUGUAGCGGUGAAAUGCUUAGAUAUCACGAAGAACUCCGAUUGUGAAGGCAGUUCACUGGACUGCAACUGACACUGAGGCUCGAAAGUGUGGGUAUCAAACAGGAUUAGAUACCCGGGUAGUC